Molecule: ribosomal RNA, 472 nt
Filed under: uncultured organism
Description: partial 16S ribosomal RNA
Rfam family: Bacterial small subunit ribosomal RNA
Source: RNAcentral
ACACUCCUACGGGAGGCAGCAGUGGGGAAUAUUGCACAAUGGGCGCAAGCCUGAUGCAGCCAUGCCGCGUGUAUGAAGAAGGCCUUCGGGUUGUAAAGUACUUUCAGCGGGGAGGAAGGUGUUGAGGUUAAUAACCUCAGCAAUUGACGUUACCCGCAGAAGAAGCACCGGCUAACUCCGUGCCAGCAGCCGCGGUAAUACGGAGGGUGCAAGCGUUAAUCGGAAUUACUGGGCGUAAAGCGCACGCAGGCGGUCUGUCAAGUCGGAUGUGAAAUCCCCGGGCUCAACCUGGGAACUGCAUUCGAAACUGGCAGGCUAGAGUCUUGUAGAGGGGGGUAGAAUUCCAGGUGUAGCGGUGAAAUGCGUAGAGAUCUGGAGGAAUACCGGUGGCGAAGGCGGCCCCCUGGACAAAGACUGACGCUCAGGUGCGAAAGCGUGGGGAGCAAACAGGAUUAGAAACCCCUGUAGUCCC